RNAcentral lists this ribosomal RNA (180 nucleotides) under uncultured freshwater bacterium. Its description in RNAcentral is "partial 16S ribosomal RNA". It matches the Rfam family "Bacterial small subunit ribosomal RNA", at positions 345 to 524 of the family's 1533-position model. The record is from RNAcentral.
GCGGGGGCCGUGAGGAUAUUGGUCAUGGACGCAAGUCUGAACCAGCCAUGCCGCGUGCAGGAUGACGGUCCUAUGGAUUGUAAACUGCUUUUGUACGAGAAGAAACACUCCUACGUGUAGGAGCUUGACGGUAUCGUAAGAAUAAGGAUCGGCUAACUCCGUGCCAGCAGCCGCGGUAAU